GGGGGGGGGGUUGCUAACGUGUGAUUGGCCGUCCCUGCUGUCACCCCAUGAGCGCCGGGAAUCAGAGCCUUGAAUGACCACCAGUGUUGUUACCAGGACAGGAGUUUGUGUUCAUCUGCCACUAGCUCCUUUGAACAGAGCUAAGCAGGGGUACUGAAGCAGAGAGAUGACUGCUGACAAAGACAUGGUGAGACCAUACAGCUUCCCAAAGUGACAAAUUGGAAAGCUGAGGAAAAGAGACUCAUUGACAACUGGAUGAAGGAGCGAUUAAUGACUUCCAGAGCAAAGGUUAAGAACUGCACGGGCAGAGAAGGAACUGAGGCGCACACGGAGAAGAGCAGACACUGCAGGGAGGUCAGGAACAGCGACAGAAUGGAGGAGCGCAGGUCAGCCUCCUGCUCUGUUGCUCCUACACGAUGACAAGUCGUUAGGGAGCCCUGGGACUCUGAGAAGGCGCUUCCAGUAGAGAGCGGCCGUUGUUGUCCUCCCUGCGGCUGGUAAUGUACACUGACAGACUUACAGCAAAUUAACAAUUCAAGAAACCCAAAA
Long non-coding RNA from Dunckerocampus dactyliophorus (ringed pipefish), 549 nucleotides. RefSeq lists it as uncharacterized. The record is from RefSeq and is a predicted model, not a curated record. The transcript is spliced from 3 exons. Lineage: Eukaryota; Metazoa; Chordata; Actinopteri; Syngnathiformes; Syngnathidae.